Molecule: ribosomal RNA, 415 nt
Filed under: uncultured bacterium
Lineage: Bacteria
Description: bacterial SSU rRNA
Rfam family: Bacterial small subunit ribosomal RNA
Source: RNAcentral
UCGGGAAUAUUGCGCAAUGGAGGAAACUCUGACGCAGUGACGCCGCGUGCAGGAAGAAGGUUUUCGGAUUGUAAACUGCUUUAGACAGGGAAGAAACGAGACAGUACCUGUAGAAUAAGCUCCGGCUAACUACGUGCCAGCAGCCGCGGUAAUACGUAGGGAGCAAGCGUUAUCCGGAUUUAUUGGGUGUAAAGGGUGCGUAGACGGGAAUGCAAGUUGGUUGUGAAAUCCCUCGGCUCAACCGAGGAAUUGCAACCAAAACUAUAUUUCUUGAGUGCUGGAGAGGAAAGUGGAAUUCCUAGUGUAGCGGUGAAAUGCGUAGAUAUUAGGAGGAACACCAGUGGCGAAGGCGACUUUCUGGACAGUAACUGACGUUGAAGCACGAAAGUGUGGGGAGCAAACAGGAUUAGAUACC